GGAGGGAUGGCCGAGUGGUUUAAGGCGGCGGUCUUGAAAACCGUUGUCCCGUGUGAGCGGGACCGUGGGUUCGAAUCCUACUCCCUCCGCCA
RNAcentral lists this transfer RNA (92 nucleotides) under Deltaproteobacteria bacterium. Its description in RNAcentral is "tRNA-Ser". It matches the Rfam family "tRNA". Rfam says of the family: Transfer RNA (tRNA) molecules are approximately 80 nucleotides in length. RNAcentral also lists the same sequence under 1 other name. Lineage: Bacteria; Pseudomonadati; Myxococcota; Myxococcia. The record is from RNAcentral.